Molecule: microRNA precursor, 204 nt
Filed under: Oryza rufipogon (brownbeard rice)
Lineage: Eukaryota; Viridiplantae; Streptophyta; Magnoliopsida; Poales; Poaceae
Description: MIR812 microRNA precursor family
Rfam family: MIR812 microRNA precursor family
Source: Rfam by way of RNAcentral
AAUAGAUGACGCCGUUGAUUUUUUCUCACAUGUUUGACCGUUCGUCUUAUUAAAAAAAAUUAUGUAAUUAUAAUUUAUUUUAUUAUGAGUUGUUUUAUAAUUUAUAGUAUUUUAAGUGUGAUUUAUAUCUUAUGCAUUUGCAUAAAAUUUUUGAAUAAGAUGAAUGGUCAAAUAUGUGAGAAAAAAUUAACGGCGUCAUCUAUU